GAAGGUGUGUCGUGAGGCAUGCUGGAGGUAUCAGAAGUGCGAAUGCUGACAUAAGUAACGAUAAAGCGGGUGAAAAGCCCGCUCGCCGGAAGACCAAGGGUUCCUGUCCAACGUUAAUCGGGGCAGGGUGAGUCGACCCCUAAGGCGAGGCCGAAAGGCGUAGUCGAUGGGAAACGGGUUAAUAUUCCCGUACUUGGUGUUACUGCGAAGGGGGGACGGAGAAGGCUAUGUUGGCCGGGCGACGGUUGUCCCGGUUUAAGCGUGUAGGUGUGUGUUCCAGGUAAAUCCGGUUCACUUUAACACUGAGGCGUGACGACGAGGCACUACGGUGCUGAAGCAACAAAUGCCCUGCUUCCAGGAAAAGCCUCUAAGCAUCAGGUAACAUCAAAUCGUACCCCAAACCGACACAGGUGGUCAGGUAGAGAAUACCAAGGCGCUUGAGAGAACUCGGGUGAAGGAACUAGGCAAAAUGGUGCCGUAACUUCGGGAGAAGGCACGCUGACACGUAGGUGAAGUGAUUUACUCAUGGAGCUGAAGUCAGUCGAAGAUACCAGCUGGCUGCAACUGUUUAUUAAAAACACAGCACUGUGCAAACACGAAAGUGGACGUAUACGGUGUGACGCCUGCCCGGUGCCGGAAGGUUAAUUGAUGGGGUCAGCGCAAGCGAAGCUCCUGAUCGAAGCCCCGGUAAACGGCGGCCGUAACUAUAACGGUCCUAAGGUAGCGAAAUUCCUUGUCGGGUAAGUUCCGACCUGCACGAAUGGCGUAAUGAUGGCCAGGCUGUCUCCACCCGAGACUCAGUGAAAUUGAACUCGCUGUGAAGAUGCAGUGUACCCGCGGCAAGACGGAAAGACCCCGUGAACCUUUACUAUAGCUUGACACUGAACAUUGAGCCUUGAUGUGUAGGAUAGGUGGGAGGCUUUGAAGUGUGGACGCCAGUCUGCAUGGAGCCGACCUUGAAAUACCACCCUUUAAUGUUUGAUGUUCUAACGUGGACCCGUUACCCGGGUUGCGGACAGUGUCUGGUGGGUAGUUUGACUGGGGCGGUCUCCUCCUAAAGAGUAACGGAGGAGCACGAAGGUUGGCUAAUCCUGG
This 1095-nucleotide ribosomal RNA is filed under the name Salmonella enterica. RNAcentral describes it as "partial 23S ribosomal RNA". It matches the Rfam family "Bacterial large subunit ribosomal RNA", at positions 1252 to 2330 of the family's 2925-position model. The record is from RNAcentral. Lineage: Bacteria; Pseudomonadati; Pseudomonadota; Gammaproteobacteria; Enterobacterales; Enterobacteriaceae.